This is a long non-coding RNA of Rana temporaria (common frog), 725 nucleotides long. RefSeq lists it as uncharacterized. NCBI's taxonomy places the organism in Eukaryota, Metazoa, Chordata, Amphibia, Anura, Ranidae. The transcript has 2 exons. The record is from RefSeq and is a predicted model, not a curated record.
AUAGCUCUGCCACUGAAUGCCACUCUGUUGAAGUGUGAUUUCUAGUCUUCUGGGAGGCAGUUAGAGAAAUGUCAAUUUCCUGAGUCCUCCACAGUGCUCAAUGGCUCAAUGAUAGCCUGUGCUCAGAGGAAGCGGGUUAAAUAUUGUUAUAUGUCAUUCAACCAGGCAGCAGGGCAAUGAUGUUGGCAAUCAUACAACCCAGAAGAGGAGCACAAGCUGCUGAAGGAGCAGAUCUUCUGCGAGGUAACAGCGCUUGAUUGAAGUCUUAUAUACAGAUCCCAUUGCGGAGAAGGCCACCAGUCGCGCAGUGUGCAACAGGCGUCAAGACCAACCAAGUAGAUGGCCAGAUUUCAGUCACUUCCAGUUAGACUAAUAGACCAAAAUGACUCUUUUCACAAAGAAACUCUCUUUAAAGUAACCAGCUCGAAACUUCAAGUACUGAUGGCAUGAAGAACAAAGAUUUCAGUGAGCAAUACAUGAAUUCAUGCAGAGCAUCAUGGGAUGUCCUCUCAUCUCUAGUGAAGAUCAAUGUGGACAUGUAAAAGAGCAUUGAUCAAACACCUGCUAUCUUUGCCUGAGCAGAAAAAUAUUGAUAUUCUAUAUGUUUGAACAAACCACAUGAUAUAUAAUGACUUCAUUGUACACAGCAAACAUCCAGAAGAACACUAAGCACAUUGCUAAUAUUAAAUAAGUGUCUAAUUUUAUUAAAAAGAACCAGUAAGGGA